Equus quagga is the source of this 576-nucleotide long non-coding RNA. RefSeq lists it as uncharacterized. Lineage: Eukaryota; Metazoa; Chordata; Mammalia; Perissodactyla; Equidae. The transcript is spliced from 4 exons. The record is from RefSeq and is a predicted model, not a curated record.
AUCUAACAUCAGGAUGAGGAAUUUGGACUUUGUCCUGCAGAUGGUGGGAGUUCAAAAGACUUGCAAUCUGAGCAUUGACAUGAUGAGGCUGAAGGGAUGAAACUCAGUGGAGAAGAAGAGUUUGAAGAUCCAUGGGAGAGAGUUGGAAUGGAUGAGACCGGAGAGUCAAAUCACAGCAUCACAACCCCGUGCACACAGAGCUUCACCUAAAGGCAGCACGUUACUGGAAACAGUUUUAAAUUUUAGCACCAAAGAAAAUGUUUUGAACGAAAUAAUUUUUCAAGAAAAUGAAUUAAUGAAGAAGUAAAUUAAAAAGCGAGAGAAAACAUGCUACACCGAAUACAAGGCAAUCAAAAAUAAUCAAGGGGUUCAUUUUUCCAAGACAAGGAAUUGGAAAUAGAUGUUCUUUUAUUCUGCUGGAGUUGAAUCAGGGAGAACGUAUGUGACAAGCCACUGCUAGCUUCUUCUCAUCAGCUAUGGCCUGAGGAUGAAGGCAACACUUGGAGGAGAGUAGAGACAAGUUAAACCAAAAGAGAGAGAAACCUCUUCCCACUUAGCAUCAUUUUAACUCCUAGA